RNAcentral lists this ribosomal RNA (1489 nucleotides) under uncultured bacterium. RNAcentral's name for it is "16S ribosomal RNA". It matches the Rfam family "Bacterial small subunit ribosomal RNA". The record is from RNAcentral.
AGAGUUUGAUUCUGGCUCAGGAUGAACGCUGGCGGCGUGCCUAACACAUGCAAGUCGAGCGGACCGUUGCUCAUUUCAGCUUUGCUGAUUUGAGCAACGGUUAGCGGCGGACGGGUGAGUAACGCGUGGGCAACCUGCCCUGUGCAGGGGGAUAACACAGCGAAAGCUGGGGUUAUACCCCUUAAAACUCCGUUCUCGCAUGAUAGAGUAGUCAAAGCUUUAGCGGCACAGGAUGGGCCCGCGUCUGAUUAGCUAGUUGGUGGGGUAACGGCCUACCAAGGCGACGAUCAGUAGCCGACCUGAGAGGGUGAUCGGCCACACUGGAACUGAGACACGGUCCAGACUCCUACGGGAGGCAGCAGUGGGGAAUAUUGCACAAUGGGGGAAACCCUGAUGCAGCAGCGCCGCGUGAGCGAAAGAAGCCUUCGGGUCGUAAAGCUCUGCCCUACGGCAAGAAGUAUGAGGGUUCCUUCUGAGGAAACCCCGGCUAACCUCGUGCUAACAACGGAAGGCAUAGCUCAGGGGCCAGCGUUGUCCGGAAGCUAAGGGCGUCAAGGGGGAGCAGUCGCCCGGAAACCCCUGGGCUGAAAAGGGCCUGGUUAAGCCGGCCGAACUCCGGAAAAUGCAAAGGCUACUGCCUACGCAGGGAAAUAAACUUUCAAAACUGCCGGGGGCAACCUUGGAAUUGAAAAGAAAUGCAAGUUUCCAAAGGGGCUCUCUGGACUGUAACUGACGCUGAGGCACGAAAGCGUGGGGAGCAAACAGGAUUAGAUACCUGGUAGUCCACGCCGUAAACGAUGAGUGCUAGGUGUCGGGGGUUCACACCCUCGGUGCCGGAGUUAACGCAAUAAGCACUCCGCCUGGGGAGUACGGUCGCAAGACUGAAACUCAAAGGAAUUGACGGGGACCCGCACAAGCAGCGGAGCAUGUGGUUUAAUUCGAAGCAACGCGAAGAACCUUACCAGGACUUGACAUCCCUUUGACAGCACCUUAACCGGAGCCUUCCCUUCGGGGACAAAGGAGACAGGUGGUGCAUGGUUGUCGUCAGCUCGUGUCGUGAGAUGUUGGGUUAAGUCCCGCAACGAGCGCAACCCUUGCCUUUAGUUGCCAUCAGUAAGGCUGGGCACUCUAGAGGGACUGCCGGUGACAAACCGGAGGAAGGUGGGGAUGACGUCAAAUCAUCAUGCCCCUUAUGUUCUGGGCUACACACGUGCUACAAUGGCUGGUACAACGGGCAGCGAAGGAGUAAUCCGGAGCGAAUCCUACAAAGCCAGUCCUAGUUCGGAUUGUGGGCUGCAACUCGCCCACAUGAAGCCGGAGUUGCUAGUAAUCGUGAAUCAGAAUGUCGCGGUGAAUGCGUUCCCGGGUCUUGUACACACCGCCCGUCACACCAUGGGAGCUCAGGGCACCCGAAGUCAGCACUAGGCGUAAGCUGAAGCUGCCGAAGGUGAAAUGAGUGACUGGGGUGAAGUCGUAACAAGGUAACCGU